CGGUGUUUAACUGGCGUGAUGUGGGACGUCCUACCGGUGGGCUUAGCCUCGCGAGGGGCGGCCCAACUAAUAUCCCGUCGCGGUGCUCUUUACUGAGUGUCGAGUCGGGCCGGUACGUUUACUUUGAACAAAUUAGAGUGCUUAAAGCAGGCUAUCCUCGCCUGAAUACUGCGUGCAUGGAAUAAUGGAAUAGGACCUCGGUUCUAUUUUGUUGGUUUUCGGAACCCCGAGGUAAUGAUUAAUAGGGACAGAUGGGGGCAUUCGUAUUGCGACGUUAGAGGUGAAAUUCUUGGAUCGUCGCAAGACGGACAGAAGCGAAAGCAUUUGCCAAAAAUGUUUUCAUUAAUCAAGAACGAAAGUUAGAGGUUCGAAGGCGAUCAGAUACCGCCCUAGUUCUAACCAUAAACGAUGCCAGCUAGCGAUCCGCCGAAGUUCCUCCGAUGACUCGGCGGGCAGCUUCCGGGAAACCAAAGCUUUUGGGUUCCGGGGGAAGUAUGGUUGCAAAGCUGAAACUUAAAGGAAUUGACGGAAGGGCACCACCAGGAGUGGGAGCCUGCGGGCUUAAUUUGACUCAACACGGGAAACCUCACCAGGCCCAGACACCGGAAGGAUUGACAGAUUGAUAGCUCUUUCUUGAUUCGGUGGGUGGUGGUGCAUGGCCGUUCUUAGUUGGUGGAGCGAUUUGUCUGGUUAAUUCCGAUAACGAACGAGACUCUAGCCUGCUAAAUAGGCGUACCUUAUGGUAUCGCGAAGGCCCCCGGCUUCGGCCGGUGGGUUUUUACUACCAACGUACAAACAAAUCUUCUUAGAGGGCACAGGCGG
Molecule: ribosomal RNA, 822 nt
Filed under: uncultured eukaryote
Lineage: Eukaryota
Description: SSU rRNA
Rfam family: Eukaryotic small subunit ribosomal RNA
Source: RNAcentral